GGUGGCUUGAUUCAGUGCUCCAGGAGGUCGUUUGGGAUAGGAGGUGGCUUGAUUCAGCGCUCCAGGAGGUCGUUUGCGAUAGGAGGUGGCUUGAUUCAGUGCUCCAGGAGGUAGUUUGGAUGGGAGGUGGCUUGAUUCAGUGCUGCAGGAGGUAGUUUGGGAUAGGAAGUGGCUUGAUUCAGCACUCUGGGAGGUGGUUUGGGAUAGGAAGGGGCUUGAUUCAGCGCUCCAUGAGGUAGUUUGGGAUAGGAAGUGGCUUGAUUCAGCGCUCCAGGAGGUAGUUUGGGAUAGGAAGUGGCUUGAUUCAGCGCUCCAGGAGGAAGUUUGGGAUAGGAAGUGGCUUGAUUCAGCGCUCCGCGAGGUGGUUUGGGAUAGGAAGUGGCUUGAUUCAGUGCUCUAGGAGGUAGUUUGGGAUAGGAAGUGGCUUGAUUCAGCACUCUGGGAGGUGGUUUGGGAUAGGAGGUGGCUUGAUUCAGCGCUCCAGGAGGUAGUUUGGGAUAGGAAGUGGCUUGAUUCAGCGCUCCAGGAGGAAGUUUGGGAUAGAAAGUGGCUUGAUUCAGCGCUCCACGAGGUAGUUUGGGAUAGGAAGUGGCUUGAUUCAGUGCUCUAGGAGGUAGUUUGGGAUAGGAAGUGGCUUGAUUCAGCGCUCUAGGAGGUAGUUUGGGAUAGGAAGUGUCUUGAUUCAGCGCUCUAGGAGGUAGUUUGGGAUAGGAGGUGGCUUGAUUCAGCGCUCCAGGAGGUAGUUUGGGAUAGGAAGUUGCUUGAUUCAGUGCUCCAGGAGGUAGUUUGGGAUAGGAAGUGUCUUGAUUCAGCG
RNAcentral lists this long non-coding RNA (814 nucleotides) under Salmo salar (Atlantic salmon). Its description in RNAcentral is "lncRNA (ENSSSAG00000096363.1)". The record is from RNAcentral. Lineage: Eukaryota; Metazoa; Chordata; Actinopteri; Salmoniformes; Salmonidae.